GUGAACUCUGCUAUAUUGAACCUGCCUGCUAUUAUAGUGAUACCUUCAGAAAUGCAUUCUCCACCUAUUAAUAUGAAAACCCUCUUAGUCAGGGAAAGACCAGCAUUCUGUAAAGGAAACCUAUUAUAUUUCAAGUUUUGCUGCAGAAUUUCAGUUUAUUUUACAGAGAGAACGUGGGAAUUGCUUCAACAGGAAUAGAAAAGCAAUGGUUUGUUAUGUGUUAGAGAAGAGGCAAGUCUGAAUUGUAUUCCAUUUUCAUUAGCACACUUCUUAUCUCCUGUAAUUAGCACUCUCACCAUAUGUAGAAUGAAAAAAAAAAAAAAAGGUUCAAUUUAUGUUAUAGAAUUGGUAGAAUUAGACUAAUUGAUUAACAGCAAUUUCCCUCUUCAAAUAAAUGGAGCCACAUGAUAGCUGCAAAGGAUACAAACAAAGCCUGGAGUCUGGUAAGAAUACCAGUUUGGAAUACAAAGAGAUAAGGACCAAGGCCUGGAGUCUCAAAUUAAAAGUAAACCAUUUCUAUAUGGCUGCCUUCCUCAUGACAGUCUAAGCUCAGAUAAGACAGCUGUGCCAAAUCAAAGAGAUGGCCUUGAGCUCAGGCAGCUGAACACCUAGGAGGGGGAAAAGGGUCUCCUGGCCCUGAAACUUCUUUCUCACAAAGAAAGCUACUUCUGCACUGUUUUCAUUUUCAGUGGAGAAUUGAUCCUGGCUUCCAGUUCCCAGUCCUUUUCAUGCCUUCACUGAAACUCUAUCCCUUCAAGAAUGCAGAGCCUAUUUUUGAUGAAGCCUUCUGGAGUUCUGUCUCUCCCCAGCUACAGAAGUAUUCUGAGGAGUAUCACAAGAUAUCAGAAGUCAGAUCACAAGAUAACCUAUGGAUAUAUUUAGAAGAGUGCAACUGGAAAAAUCUACCAUCCCUGAAAAAACAUUUUUGAAAUGUAAUUAUAUUUUUGUCUAUUUGUCAAAAAGUAAAAUAAAAGCAUGCAGAGAAGUAAGCUAGGCUAAGAU
Molecule: long non-coding RNA, 1002 nt
Filed under: Anas platyrhynchos platyrhynchos (common mallard)
Lineage: Eukaryota; Metazoa; Chordata; Aves; Anseriformes; Anatidae
Description: lncRNA (ENSAPLG00000019795.1)
Source: RNAcentral